AUUGAACGCUGGCGGCAGGCCUAACACAUGCAAGUCGAGCGGAAACGAAGGGAGCUUGCUCCCAGGCGUCGAGCGGCGGACGGGUGAGUAACACGUGAGAAUCUGCCCAUUAGUGGGGGACAACUCGGGGAAACUCGAGCUAAUACCGCAUAAUCCCUACGGGGGAAAGCAGGGGACCUUUUGGCCUUGCGCUGAUGGAUGAGCACACGUCGGAUUAGCUUGUUGGUGAGGUAAAGGCUCACCAAGGCGACGAUCCGUAGCUGGUCUGAGAGGAUGAUCAGCCACACUGGGACUGAGACACGGCCCAGACGCCUCCGGGAGGCAGCAGUGGGGAAUCUUGGACGAUGGGGGCAACCCUGAUCCAGCCAUGCCGCGUGUGUGAAGAAGGCCUUCGGGUUGUAAAGCACUUUCAGCAGGGAGGAAGGCUUUGGCCGAAUAGGUUGAAGUACUUGACGUUACCUGCAGAAGAAGCACCGGCUAAUUUCGUGCCAGCCGCCGCCGUAA
RNAcentral lists this ribosomal RNA (504 nucleotides) under uncultured bacterium. RNAcentral's name for it is "partial 16S ribosomal RNA". It matches the Rfam family "Bacterial small subunit ribosomal RNA", at positions 29 to 523 of the family's 1533-position model. The record is from RNAcentral.